UGAUAAUCUUAAUGAUGUUACAUAAUACUGUAAUAAUUCAAUAUAAGGAUCUCUAAUUAUAGAAUACAGGGAGAUCCGUCUUUACGAGACACCGUGUAUGUACACCGCAAGUUUCGGAAGGGUUAGGACAAACCGCGAUCGAUGGUCGGUCGUCUAUCCACGCGUAUAUCAGUGUGACGCAUUAAUUCCGAAAACAAAAUGAAACAGCCAUGAAUUGAGAUCGAUAACAACAAAGGAACGACCGUUGGCGUGAAGUACGCUCUCUCUCUUGUAGUCGACGGCGUCAGAAAUGCGAACUCGCUGAAAUUAUUACAUCGGCGUCACCAGUCGCGACUCUGAGACGGCAUUCUCGUGACGCAUCACGGACGUCACGGAAACGUUGCCGAUGUUUCGUCGAGGUAUUUCCUCGAGAGCGCGCGAUCGCACGAGGACGCGUUUGUAACCGGCUUGAAAACGCGAUGCGCGGGAGAGACCACGGGAAGCGUACAGAGGAAUAGUAUCGAUGCAAUAUUUACC
Long non-coding RNA from Harpegnathos saltator (Jerdon's jumping ant), 516 nucleotides. RefSeq lists it as uncharacterized. NCBI's taxonomy places the organism in Eukaryota, Metazoa, Arthropoda, Insecta, Hymenoptera, Formicidae. The transcript is spliced from 3 exons. The record is from RefSeq and is a predicted model, not a curated record.